Gavialis gangeticus (Gharial) is the source of this 851-nucleotide long non-coding RNA. RefSeq lists it as uncharacterized. The record is from RefSeq and is a predicted model, not a curated record. The transcript is spliced from 2 exons. NCBI's taxonomy places the organism in Eukaryota, Metazoa, Chordata, Crocodylia, Gavialidae.
CUGAAACUGUUCUACCUGCAUACAUAAAAUAAUACAUUUUUCAGGAGUAGAAAGGAAGAUGGCAGAGGAAAAGAAGUAAGCUCUUGCUCAGUAGUUAGAACAUUCACCUAGAAUGUGUGACAGUCUAGUUCAAAGCCCUAAUCCCAAAUGUGAUGAAAUAGAGAUUAUUUGAACCUGUUUCUCACAUAGCGAGCUUCCCCUAAUGGCAAGCUCUUGGAUAUUCUGGUGUGGUCUCUUCCUUUCCUAGCAGAAUUUUUGUUAUGGAGCCACAAUGCCUUACUCAAGGAUAAUUUUAUAAAACUCGGCAUGUUGGGUAAGAUUUGGGUGGCAAAACAGCAUUUCCAAUUAAAACUGUUUUUGGCAGAAAUUCCUAGCAAGUUCUAGAGAGGAGCUUGUGGGGAAGACCAAUACAGGAGUUGGGUGAGGGAAAAGGAUUGGAACAGGGUUAGAGGGAACAAAGGUAAAAGGAGUCAGAUUGGGUACAGGUUGAAGGGGAAUUCAGCCUUUAAAAGACACAUCACUAUGGUAUCUGGCAUUGAACUCAGGAGUUCUGAGUCUCAGCAUUUCCUUGUUGUCAUCAAACAUCUGUGAAACUCACAAAAUGUGUGUCUAAAAAAACUCUAAUAGCACAAAUACAGGAGAAGUUACUGUUGAUUAAUAAUAAUAAUAAUUCUGUCAGCCAUAGUAGCAGAGGUCUGUGUGGAUCUAAGGGUACCAAUACUGCUGGUAAGGGGUGAGUGGGGUCAAGGCGGUCCCAUAUGAUAGAAUUUGUGUUGUGUUUACUCUUUUUAAAAUACUUUUUUAAAGAGACUGUACAUUAAAUAGCUGCAUUAAAAUUCACUUAAACCAGA